CCUACGGGUGGCAGCAGUAGGGAAUAUUGCUCAAUGGGGGAAACCCUGAAGCAGCAACGCCGCGUGGAGGAUGAAGGUUUUCGGAUUGUAAACUCCUUUUGUUGGAGAAGAUAAUGACGGUAUCUAACGAAUAAGCACCGGCUAACUCCGUGCCAGCAGCCGCGGUAAUACGGAGGGUGCAAGCGUUACUCGGAAUCACUGGGCGUAAAGAGCGCGUAGGCGGGAUAGCAAGUCAGAUGUGAAAUCCUAGGGCUUAACCAUAGAACUGCAUUUGAAACUGUUAUUCUAGAGUAUGGGAGAGGUAGGUGGAAUUCUUGGUGUAGGGGUAAAAUCCGUAGAGAUCAAGAGGAAUACUCAUUGCGAAGGCGACCUGCUAGAACAUAACUGACGCUGAUGCACGAAAGCGUGGGGAGCAAACAGGAUUAGAUACCCCUGUAGUU
This 440-nucleotide ribosomal RNA is filed under the name uncultured bacterium. Its description in RNAcentral is "partial 16S ribosomal RNA". It matches the Rfam family "Bacterial small subunit ribosomal RNA", at positions 338 to 795 of the family's 1533-position model. The record is from RNAcentral.